Long non-coding RNA from Erigeron canadensis, 1675 nucleotides. RefSeq lists it as uncharacterized. The transcript is spliced from 5 exons. The record is from RefSeq and is a predicted model, not a curated record. Lineage: Eukaryota; Viridiplantae; Streptophyta; Magnoliopsida; Asterales; Asteraceae.
CCAUAAGCAAAUCCUACGCAACCCUAUUCCAUUCUCUUGUAUUGUUCAUCUUUUCCUUGUGAUACUCAGAUAUAAGAAUAAGAAGAGAAAAGGAAAAACCAAAACCCUAAAAAUGUUUUCGGGAAUCGAUGGUGGGAAGAAACGGUGGGCUGAUAUUCAUGGUCCCUGCAAAGAGUGGGUUGAUAUUUAUGGUCCCUGCGGACGCAAGGAGAUGUUGGUUUGUGGGUUGAUUAGAAAAGGGGUUAAUUUAAACGAUUUGAAGCCAGAUAGUAAAAGGAGAAUGGAUGUUAGCCGUCCUAAUUGUGCAUAUGCUAAUAUCUUAGCAGACGCCGAGUCUUGGAUGAGAAUAUGGGGGCUUUCAGUGGAAGAUUUGAAAUCGGGAACUUUUUAUUCUUUUCUUGAAAACGGAAGAACCAUGGACGGUAUAAAAAAUCACCAAGGCGGAGGGUCUGCGUAUGAUUAACCAGAUUAAUCGUAAUAAUAAGAAGAAAGUGGAAGCUCUGUUUAAGAAGGAUACGAAGUAUGAUCAAACUUGGGCUGACGAGGUUCAUAGUUCAUAUCUUUGGCUGAAGGAGCUGCAGAAGAGGGAAAAGGAGGGGACUCAUAAUUUUAUCAAGUCUAAGCUGAAGGUAAGGGAGGAGGAUAUGCGGAGGUUCAGAGAGGGGGCAGCUACCUGGUACGAAAAUUUUCGUACUCAUGAGGGCGGCACAAUUAGCUCUAAGCAUGACUACGGUUACCACUUCAACUAUCCUGAUCUGGAUCCCAAGGAUGGUUUUGAUUGUAACCGCUUCAAGAUAUCCAACAACAUGUCCCUCGCGUUUGAUGCUCACGAUGAGGAUCUCUUUCAACAAGUUAUCAAGCGGCCUCGAUCAGGCUAUUAAUUAUAUAUAGGCUUUCUUAGUUAUUAUUAUCAUCUAGGUUGCUUAUUUGCUACUGCUUGCUUGCUCAUGUGUGUUUGUGUCCUUUAAUAAUCUUCUGUCAAACUUAAUUUGGUCAUCCAUGUUGUUGGAACUACUUGGUACUUUUCAUGUUAUGUUGUUUUAUGCUUAAUUCUGUCGUUUCUAGUUACUACCACUUUUACCAUUAUCUAUUAUUUCUCAUCAUUAUUAUGCAUCUUAUUGCUGCUAUCCAUACUAUAUACUAUAUAUAUAUGUAUAGGAAGGACACGUAUAAAUUCAGUGACUUAUACCUUGAGGUCUGCAAAAGGACCAUGAUCAGAAGUUCAGAACUGAUUACUGCCUACCGGUUCAAGGAUCAGGUUUGGAAGGUUUCAAACCAAUCAAGAUGGAACGGCAGAUGUGCUGGUUAAGAGCCCAAAACGGAUUCAAGUGAAACAGGCCAUUUUCUAAUCCUGAGGCAGCCAAUAACAAGGUAAUCACACAGACUCAAGCCAUGGGCCCACGGAAGUAUAUCAACAAUGGUUGACCUAUGCCAGAGCGGACAAUUAACUCUUAGCAUUAGCCAUUCUCGGGUACAUCUAGUAUGGAAGUGAUGGUUGCAUGGAAGUUAUGGUUACAUGGAAGUGAAUAAAGUUCUGCUCCAUCUUCAUAGUUGCAGAGGCAUAUACAGCAGUCCUUCAAAAAAACACAGAUGAAAGUUGGACCGAUAGCAUGUGAUCUUGCUCAUACAGACUGGACAAAGCCCGUUUGGGGAACUGGGGUCAUCAGAAAGUUAC